CAGGUUGUUCCAGCGUCGGGAGUUUGACAGCGUAACGGAAUGAAUCUUCACUGCGGUCCCAGUUUCAGGGUCAUCUCUCCAGAGUACCCGUUGAUAAUCCACAUCUGAUUCCGAGAUCUUCACUUGCCGAUACAUUUUGGCUAUGUCAGACGUGAGACAAACGGGGAGGCAUCGUACACUACCCGUACCUUCGUCGUUUCCCUGUCUUCUCGUAUGACUGCGUGAUGGGGUAAGUAUAUCGCCAAUGGAUUGUCAACUUGAUCAUCAGGUACAAGUUCCAUGUGAUUCAGAUCUAUGUAUUCUUGCAUCACUUCAGAGUACUUCUCUCUCAAGGCUUCAUUCUUCAUGAAUUUCCGUUCCAACGAAAGAAAUCUCCUUUCAGAUAUCUCCCUGGAGUUGUCUACACAAGGAGGAUCAUUCUUCAAGGGAAGUCGAACUACAUAUCUCCCUUCCUCGUCUCUUGAAGUUGUCUUUGUGAAUAUCUCCUCACAUCUUUUUUCUUCCUCUGUAAACAUUUUUUCUCUUUUUAUUUCAGGUUCCGCUUCCAGUUCCCAGAACUU
This is a long non-coding RNA of Ostrinia nubilalis (European corn borer), 560 nucleotides long. RefSeq lists it as uncharacterized. The record is from RefSeq and is a predicted model, not a curated record. NCBI's taxonomy places the organism in Eukaryota, Metazoa, Arthropoda, Insecta, Lepidoptera, Crambidae. The transcript is spliced from 3 exons.